ACUCUCGUAGCCCAAUUGGCAGAGGCGGCAGGCUUAGACCCUGCGCGAUGGGGGUUCGAAUCCCUCCGGGAGUAC
RNAcentral lists this transfer RNA (75 nucleotides) under Streptomyces phage WRightOn. RNAcentral's name for it is "tRNA-Leu". It matches the Rfam family "tRNA". From Rfam's summary of the family: Transfer RNA (tRNA) molecules are approximately 80 nucleotides in length. Their secondary structure includes four short double-helical elements and three loops (D, anti-codon, and T loops). Lineage: Duplodnaviria; Heunggongvirae; Uroviricota; Caudoviricetes. RNAcentral also lists the same sequence under 4 other names. The record is from RNAcentral.